GCAAGUCGAGCGCGAUCUUCGGGUUGAGCGGCGGACGGGUUAGUAACGCGUGGGAAUAUGCCCAAAGGUACGGAAUAGCCUCUGGAAACGGAGAGUAAUACCGUAUGUGCCCUUCGGGGGAAAGAUUUAUCGCCUUUGGAUUAGCCCGCGUUAGAUUAGGUAGUUGGUGGGGUAAUGGCCUACCAAGCCUACGAUCUAUAGCUGGUUUUAGAGGAUGAUCAGCAACACUGGGACUGAGACACGGCCCAGACUCCUACGGGAGGCAGCAGUGGGGAAUCUUGGACAAUGGGCGCAAGCCUGAUCCAGCCAUGCCGCGUGAGUGAUGAAGGCCUUAGGGUCGUAAAGCUCUUUCGCCAGCGAUGAUAAUGACAGUACCUGGUAAAGAAACCCCGGCUAACUCCGUGCCAGCAGCCGCGGUAAUACGGAGGGGGUUAGCGUUGUUCCGGAAUUAC
RNAcentral lists this ribosomal RNA (452 nucleotides) under uncultured bacterium. RNAcentral describes it as "bacterial SSU rRNA". It matches the Rfam family "Bacterial small subunit ribosomal RNA", at positions 57 to 554 of the family's 1533-position model. The record is from RNAcentral.